RNAcentral lists this long non-coding RNA (3028 nucleotides) under Neodiprion lecontei (redheaded pine sawfly). Its description in RNAcentral is "uncharacterized LOC124293977". The record is from RNAcentral. Lineage: Eukaryota; Metazoa; Arthropoda; Insecta; Hymenoptera; Diprionidae.
GCGCGAAUUACGCUGCGCAUUUCGAGAAACCACAAAGAGAAAAUAAAAAUUUGGACGUGACGCGAAAGCUAAAACGCGAAAAUCUCAAUUCGAUAAUUGAAAGAUAUAAGGGUCAGAUAACGAAUACGGGAUGGAGAAUUACUCGAGUGUCACGCGAAUAUUAAGUAAUAAAGCCUGUUACGGGUGUUGUAAAAAUUUUAUGUCAUCAGGAUCGGGGAGUUUCGUUCGUUUUAUCUCCAAUCAAUCGGGAAGAGUCAUUAGGCGAGGCAGUGAAGAGUGAAUUCGUGUAAUCGGUUUGACGGUGAGCUGCUGCAGCGAGGAAUAUGAUGCGGAAUGAAAAUGGAACGAGAAGAGCCCGAUGCGAGGAAAAAACGGUGUUGAAGAGGCACGCAGGGGUGAAAAAUCGCCUUCGUUAUGAGGACAAAUCGCGUAUAUACAACUUGGAACUGCACGUGCCUUGAUGUUGAAGCCACUUGAGUUUCUGGAGGCCAGCAGCCGUUUGCCACCGCUUCUAAUACCGCGGCUGAAAAGCACCCGACGUUAUAAUAUACAAGGUACUUAAGAUCCAGUUAAAACCUUGAUUGGAAAAGGAGAUGAGAAGAGCAUGUCUGAGAAGCUGGAUCGGAAGCAGAAUCGAAUUUCGACGUUCGGUACAAGUUCUGAUUCAGUUCAAGUUUCGACUCAACGAUGUGGAUUAAACACACUAAUUGUUUGACUCGACUUCAAGCCUUUACCAAAAGUGUUUUCAGUCACUGGAAAGCGACACUUUUGCAUUGGCGAAAUCCGAGUCUAGCAGAUACUCGAGGGAACCGCGAGGAACGGACUGAAAGGGAUGCAGACGAGAAGACAGAAGUGGCGUAAGCACAAAAAGGGGCGAGGAGGACGCGGGGGAAGUCAACGUUACCUCCGACACACAAUGGCGUAGAGUCAACGAGCUGGAAGCAGAGCCUGUGCAGUAACUAGGAACGACCUCAGAGUGGUAUUAAAUAUGCAGGUAAAAGAGUACCACGUAUGCUUUGGAGCCCGUGGUGUUGGAGUGGUGGAGGUAGAUCGGCGCCAGCUCUGAUUUGAUGAAACGAUUCCAAGCCCGUGGAGUUGGACUCGACAGAGAAGCUGCAUCGUGCUCUCGGCACUGCUGAGCGACAAAGCUUGUGAAAAAAAUUGUCCAUUAUCGUUUUAAAAACUGACGUUUCGUUAGCCGACCAACUAACGAGGAUUUUUCGUUUUGUUCACCUUCCAACAAAGACAGAGCUAUCGAGGUGGAUGAACCUGGAUUUUGGGGGAGGGGAAAUGCCUAGACGUCAUCUCCGACUGGGAUGAUAAUGUCUGAGGGAAAUGCCUGGCUCGUACUGUCCGCUCUGUGGAAGUUGAUCCGGCUGGGUUUCCAAGUUUCAUCUCGUUACCGCGAUGUUCCACUUGCUCGGUAUAAAGUACCGGAUUCAAUUUAUUGAAGUCUGCUCUACUGCUGCUGCUGCUGCUGCUGCCGCUGCUAUAUACUCUGCGAGAAAAAGACCGUCGGUCGCACACUCUUGCCGAACAAGAGACGGCCAGAGUGAAAUGCGCCUCUUCUAUUCCGAUUGAAUUUUAUGAAGAAAUCGGUGAAAAGGGGCCAACCGAACCGAGGGUCUUUUAGGCUUUUCGGUCCUUCCAGGAGGAACUCGGAUUUGGCAAGCUCUGAUACCUUCUCACUGUUUUCAGGCUCUCCAGGUCCUUUCCAUUGUAAAAACAAGUGCGGUCUUGACAUUUAUAGACUAUAACUUGGUUUCGAUAAGACACUGCCUGAUUUUUGAUUUCCGUUAUGACCAUGAAAAUUGCUCUAUAUUAAUCAUCACAUUUGCCAAUUUUUGCCAAUUUUUCAUCGUCGAAAACGUUGGAUUGAGACAAGAUUUUAAAAUCAAUCACAAAAUUGUUUUUCACGUAGUUUCAGAAACUGAUAUAUACAUCAUUGCGAGUGUUUUAGAGAAAUUUUUAACCUAUACAUUCGUGAGGACGGUUCUCGAACUUUGGUGUGAGUACAACUUACUAUCAUCGAAACACAUUUCUAUGAAUUUUCACAAAAUAUUAGAUCACAUCGAAGGUCGUAACAAGGUUUUGUACCACAAAUUUCAUACGGAAAACUGAGCUGAUUUCAAUGAAAAUUGGACAGUCCUCUCCGGACCAUUUUCACAGAGACAAGUUUCAGCAACUUUUUUAAUCUAUUUCCAUUUUCGGUUUUCAAAAAUACUCAACGAACUUUAAAAGCCAAUCUUCUAUCAAGCAAAGCUUUCGUCUAACUCGCUAUGUGAGACUCUGUUUCAGGUGGUUCCGAGGGAAACAUCGAAAAUUACCGUCAUGCGGCACGAUGCCGGUUUGUAUCACGGGGAAAAAAUCCUUAGGGUACAACACACGCAGAGAAUCGGAGAGAGUAGCUGAGGGCUCAACUGGAACGAGCUUGCAGAGCUGUAAGCAUCCAUCGCGGCUACUUUCCUGCAGGCGGAUGGAAGUACAUUCGCAUCGUUGGGAUCAGAAGUGACCCGAGAAGUCGCUGGAUCCGGCACUCUCGAAUUGCUUAAUUUCUUCCAAUUCUACUCAGAUCGUUCUCGGCCCCCAGGAGACUCGGAGCCCUGCAAUUACACCUUACACGCACCGAAGAGAUGAGCUUGUCGCAGGCUGAGAUACGCGGGUUCACUGCUUAAAGGAGACGGAAUCGAGCAGGAGAGGCAAGAGAACGGGAAAAGGACUCUGGUUCUAACAGCCGACUUCAGAUUUCAAGCUCCGUAGCUACGCUCAAUCAUCGCUAGUUCUGGUCUUCGUUAAGCUGAGUUGAGCCGGGUCGCGAUUCCGACGCCCAGGACUUUAUGAGUUUGCCAACCCGGAGGAGGACAUCGGGGUAAAGCUUCGUCACCGAACACCCAGCUACACCUGGCUGACCUCCUCCCCAGGUGGCCGCAGUGUAAGGACAUUUAUGACCGAGCAUAGCGCCGGAAGUGAACGACGAGAUACUGCGCGCUCGGCAUCCCGACUGAGGGGCCGGCGUCGCGACGCGGGC